GACGAACGCUGGCGGCGUGCUUAACACAUGCAAGUCGAACGGAAAGGCCCUGCUUUUGUGGGGUGCUCGAGUGGCGAACGGGUGAGUAACACGUGAGUAACCUGCCCUUGACUUUGGGAUAACUUCAGGAAACUGGGGCUAAUACCGGAUAGGAGCUCCUGCUGCAUGGUGGGGGUUGGAAAGUUUCGGCGGUUGGGGAUGGACUCGCGGCUUAUCAGCUUGUUGGUGGGGUAGUGGCUUACCAAGGCUUUGACGGGUAGCCGGCCUGAGAGGGUGACCGGCCACAUUGGGACUGAGAUACGGCCCAGACUCCUACGGGAGGCAGCAGUGGGGAAUAUUGCACAAUGGGCGGAAGCCUGAUGCAGCAACGCCGCGUGCGGGAUGACGGCCUUCGGGUUGUAAACCGCUUUCGCCUGUGACGAAGCGUGAGUGACGGUAAUGGGUAAAGAAGCACCGGCUAACUACGUGCCAGCAGCCGCGGUGAUACGUAGGGUGCGAGCGUUGUCCGGAUUUAUUGGGCGUAAAGGGCUCGUAGGUGGUUGAUCGCGUCGGAAGUGUAAUCUUGGGGCUUAACCCUGAGCGUGCUUUCGAUACGGGUUGACUUGAGGAAGGUAGGGGAGAAUGGAAUUCCUGGUGGAGCGGUGGAAUGCGCAGAUAUCAGGAGGAACACCAGUGGCGAAGGCGGUUCUCUGGGCCUUUCCUGACGCUGAGGAGCGAAAGCGUGGGGAGCGAACAGGCUUAGAUACCCUGGUAGUCCACGCUGUAAACGGUGGGUACUAGGUGUGGGGUCCAUUCCACGGGUUCCGUGCCGUAGCUAACGCUUUAAGUACCCCGCCUGGGGAGUACGGCCGCAAGGCUAAAACUCAAAGGAAAUGACGGGGCCCCGCACAAGCGGCGGAGCAUGCGGAUUAAUUCGAUGCAACGCGUAGAACCUUACCUGGGUUUGACAUGGAUCGGGAGUGCUCAGAGAUGGGUGUGCCUCUUUUGGGGUCGGUUCACAGGUGGUGCAUGGCUGUCGUCAGCUCGUGUCGUGAGAUGUUGGGUUAAGUCCCGCAACGAGCGCAACCCUUGUUCACUGUUGCCAGCACGUUAUGGUGGGGACUCAGUGGAGACCGCCGGGGUCAACUCGGAGGAAGGUGGGGAUGACGUCAAGUCAUCAUGCCCCUUAUGUCCAGGGCUUCACGCAUGCUACAAUGGCUGGUACAGAGAGUGGCGAGCCUGUGAGGGUGAGCGAAUCUCGGAAAGCCGGUCUCAGUUCGGAUUGGGGUCUGCAACUCGACCUCAUGAAGUCGGAGUCGCUAGUAAUCGCAGAUCAGCAACGCUGCGGUGAAUACGUUCCCGGGGCU
This 1346-nucleotide ribosomal RNA is filed under the name uncultured bacterium. RNAcentral's name for it is "partial 16S ribosomal RNA". It matches the Rfam family "Bacterial small subunit ribosomal RNA", at positions 28 to 1381 of the family's 1533-position model. The record is from RNAcentral.